UGCAAUGUUAUUAUCACGUGAUCACCCAUUUCCGGCACGCUACUAGACAUCAGUCAUACAGUGUAGAAGUUUUGUUCCUGUAGUCCCCAGCCUAGAAAGCGUCAGGAUGAUGGCGCUGCGGCGCGGAGUUUGGAGGUUUCUCCAUGUCAAGCCACUUCUUCAUCGCCACAUGAGUGUGUGCUCUUCCUCCAGCUACAGAGCUGUGAUAUUUGACAUGUUUGGAGUGUUGAUCCCAUCACCGCUGCCUAAAGCAACAGAAUGGGAAGAUGAGAAUGGAGUCCCUCGUGGCACAAUAGGCCGAGCUAUAAGGGCAGCGGGCAAUAACAACUCCUGGAAGAAAUACAUGAGAGGAGAAUUGGGGCCAGAGGAGUUUGUGGAAGCCUUUAGUCAGGACUGCAGUCAAAUUGUAGGCUUCAAGGUCCAUAUUGGUUCUUUCCAUUCUGUGCUGACCAGUGACUCCAUGUCACAGCCGGUGACUGUUAUGAUGGAUGCUGUGCAGUGUGCUCGUGCUGAAGGGUUCAAGACUGCUGUUCUUAGCAACAACUUUCUCUUGCCUGGAGGAAAGUCCUACCUCCCUCUGGACACUUCUCUCUUUGAUGUUAUAAUAGAGUCCUGCAGAGUGGGUUUAUGUAAGCCAGAUCUCAGGAUCUAUCAGCUGUGUACCAAAAGACUGGGAGUCUCUCCUGACGAAGUGGUGUUUCUGGACGACUUGAGUUUCAAUGUGGAGGCUGCAGUACAAUUAGGAAUGCAUGGCAUCACGGUUAGAGAUCCUGGAUUGGCUGUGAAGGAGCUGGAGCAGGUGCUGAAGAUACCAUUGUCUGGCUAUAGGCCUGGACUGAAUUGGCAGCUCCCUAUCAACCCGCUUACUCAAUAUCUCAAGAAAGCUACUCAGCUUCCACUUACAGACCACAUUAUAAUGCAGCGACUGAGCCAGAGUGACUUGACUGAUUCCACAUACCUGUUGAGCUGUGGACAGCAUCGGUUUGUCCUGAAGAAGAAACCAAGUACUGAAGCUCUGCAGAAGGAAUGCAGGCUUCUCAGGGCCCUUAAAGAAGCCAAAGUCCCUGUACCAAGUGUUAUUGCCCAGCAUGAGAUGCCCAGCAAUGUUCUGGGAAGCCCAUUUUACCUGACAUUUUACUGUCCGGGUCGAGUGUUUAAUGACCACUCUAUACCAGGAGAAGAUACUCAUGGGAAGAGACAUGUAUAUAAGGCUAUGAUAAAAACCCUCUGCCAGAUACACAGAGUUGACCUGAAAACCACAGGUCUACAGAACCGUAGAGAUCCAGGUGACUUCAUGGAAACUCAAGUGAAAAAGUGGGCACAGCAGUUCAAGGCAAACGAGAUUCAGCCCAUUCCUGCUAUGGAUAGAUUGAUAGACUGGCUACUGUUGCAUCUCCCUAAACAUCAGAGAACCACACUGCUCCAUGGAAGUUUCAGCCUGAACAAUCUGGUGUUUGACUCAGAGACCCUUGAUGUUAGGGCAGUAUUGGGCUGGAGUCGUUCUACUGUAGGAGACCCACUUGUGGAUUUGGCUUCCUGUUGUAUGCCCCUCUUCCUUCCCCCUACUGCUUCUACACAACAAGCUUUUACAGGAAAGAAAUUUGCUCUGAUGGGUAUUCCAUCUGCAGAGGAAAUGUUUGAGCUGUAUUGCAAAGAAAUGGGAUUGGAGUACAUUUCAAACUGGCAGUUCUACAUGGCUUUCUGCUUCUUCCGCCAGGCUGCUAUCUUACAGACAAAUUGUAAAACAUCAUGCAAAGGCACUACAUACCCACGUGAAAUAGAAGACAUUGCAAACCUGGCGUGGGACUUUGCCACUAAAGAAGGCUUCCGUAUCUUUAAUGCUUUGCCUGGAGCAGCAAGCUUUUGAUAUGGUGGAGUCAGCAGUGCAGAGUAUAGGUAAGGUAAGUAGUGUGUCUAUGUGCUAUACAUGAGUGUACUGAUAAAUAAGUCUGUAUUAUGGCCUGAAUGUCCCUUUGCACUGGCAUGAGCACCCCACACAUCCCUGACCCACUGUUGCUGUGAGCUUGUUUUAUUAUUAUUAUUAUUAUUAUCAUUAUUAUUAUUGUUGUUAUUUUUAAAGAUGACCUCUUACGUAAUGUAAUAUGUGUUUUAUGUGAGUAUGUGUAUUCUAAAUAAGUCUUUAUAAAGUACACCCCAUGGAAAUUGGCUUUUUUUUUUUUAAUUACCUAUUUGGACAAGCAAACGUGAUCAUCUUUGAAAUAGAACCUAUUAAUAAAGUUCAUAUACUUGAACAAAACCACAUGGAAAAUUUGCUUUUUCAACAAUUUAUUCAACAGAUAUCAAUAGCUGUGAUAUUCUUCUGUGGAAAAAGUAAGUACAACCUUGGCCUCAGAAGCUAGUAUUGCCCCCUUUAGCAGAAAUAACUUCUUGUAGGCGAUUUGUAUAAUUGUCCACCAGGCUUGCUGGAAUUUUUGAAUACUCUUCCAUACAAUAUUCUUUCACUUGCAAGCUGUUAAAGGGUUUUCUUGCAUGUUCUGCCCAUUUCAAAUCCCCCCACAACAUUUCAAUGGGAUUCAAAUCCGGGCUUUGACUAGACCAUUCCAUAACCCUCUAUUUCUUCUUUCGCCAUUCCUUAGUGGAUUUGCUCGUGUGCUUAGGAUCAUUAUCCUGUUGAAAGAUCCACUUUUGGUUCAGCUUCAACUUUCGGACAGAUGGCCUGACAUUAUCAUCAAGCACUCUUUGAUAUGAUGCAGAAUUCAUAGUUCAGUCAGUGACUGAAAGCCUUCACAGUUGAACUCUAGAUCUUGGGAUGAUGACACCACACACCUCAAUAGCAGAGGAACACCAGACACUGGAUUUGAGAGGGAUAUAAAUAAGACGGGUUCCACCUGCACUCCCUGAGCAGGUUCUAAUGGACAAUGUCCAUUGUUAAAAGCGCUAUACAAAUAAAACUGAAUUGAAUAAGAUGCAAGAAUUUCAUUUACAUC
RNA transcript from Ictalurus punctatus (channel catfish), 2948 nucleotides. It is a transcript of the gene named acyl-CoA dehydrogenase family member 10, with no coding region annotated. The record is from RefSeq and is a predicted model, not a curated record. The transcript has 15 exons. Lineage: Eukaryota; Metazoa; Chordata; Actinopteri; Siluriformes; Ictaluridae.